Molecule: ribosomal RNA, 875 nt
Filed under: Lacticaseibacillus paracasei
Lineage: Bacteria; Bacillati; Bacillota; Bacilli; Lactobacillales; Lactobacillaceae
Description: bacterial SSU rRNA
Rfam family: Bacterial small subunit ribosomal RNA
Source: RNAcentral
UGCAGUCGACGAGUUCUCGUUGAUGAUCGGUGCUUGCACCGAGAUUCAACAUGGAACGAGUGGCGGACGGGUGAGUAACACGUGGGUAACCUGCCCUUAAGUGGGGGAUAACAUUUGGAAACAGAUGCUAAUACCGCAUAGAUCCAAGAACCGCAUGGUUCUUGGCUGAAAGAUGGCGUAAGCUAUCGCUUUUGGAUGGACCCGCGGCGUAUUAGCUAGUUGGUGAGGUAAUGGCUCACCAAGGCGAUGAUACGUAGCCGAACUGAGAGGUUGAUCGGCCACAUUGGGACUGAGACACGGCCCAAACUCCUACGGGAGGCAGCAGUAGGGAAUCUUCCACAAUGGACGCAAGUCUGAUGGAGCAACGCCGCGUGAGUGAAGAAGGCUUUCGGGUCGUAAAACUCUGUUGUUGGAGAAGAAUGGUCGGCAGAGUAACUGUUGUCGGCGUGACGGUAUCCAACCAGAAAGCCACGGCUAACUACGUGCCAGCAGCCGCGGUAAUACGUAGGUGGCAAGCGUUAUCCGGAUUUAUUGGGCGUAAAGCGAGCGCAGGCGGUUUUUUAAGUCUGAUGUGAAAGCCCUCGGCUUAACCGAGGAAGCGCAUCGGAAACUGGGAAACUUGAGUGCAGAAGAGGACAGUGGAACUCCAUGUGUAGCGGUGAAAUGCGUAGAUAUAUGGAAGAACACCAGUGGCGAAGGCGGCUGUCUGGUCUGUAACUGACGCUGAGGCUCGAAAGCAUGGGUAGCGAACAGGAUUAGAUACCCUGGUAGUCCAUGCCGUAAACGAUGAAUGCUAGGUGUUGGAGGGUUUCCGCCCUUCAGUGCCGCAGCUAACGCAUUAAGCAUUCCGCCUGGGGAGUACGACCGCAAGGUUG